GUCGGACGUCUCCUAGACCGUCACCGUGGCGUGUUUGUGAGGAAAUGAAAGUGAAAGUGGGAGUUAGCGCUCACUCCGCGCCAUGCCUUCCCAACUGGCUUGUAGCGAGUCUAAGGUGCACAAGGAGAUUCUACAGCUGUUAUCUCAACACCCUUCUGGACUGAAGGUAUCUGACUUCACUGCAGCCUAUCGGAAAAAGUACUGUAAAGAUCUAGUCCUCUCCAGACAUGGAUUCAAUAAGCUGACAGGUCUUUUCAACGCCAUGAAGGAUUUUGUGGAUAUUCUGGAGUUAAAUGGAGAUCAAUUUGUCAAGAUUAAGUCGAAGCACAUUCUCCAAGACCAGGUCUCAGCAUCCUGUCACUAUGAGGACCCACGGCAUUCACGAGAAGACUCCCCGGUUACCGCUCUGUCUUGCCAGCACAGCUCACUCUUGUCUAAGGUGCACGAGGAGAUUCUACAGCUGUUGUCUCAACAUCCUUCUGGACUGAAGGUAUCUGACUUCACUGCAGCCUAUCGGAGAAAGUACUGUGAAGAUCUAGUCCUCUCCAGACAUGGAUUCAAUAAGCUGACAGGUCUUUUCAAAGCCAUGGAGGAUUAUGUGGAUAUUCUGGAGUUAAAUGGAGAUCAAUUUGUCAAGAUUAAGUCGAAGCACAUUCUCCAAGACCAGGUCUCAGCAUCCUGUCACUAUGAGGACCCACGGCAUUCACGAGAAGACUCCCCGGUUACCGCUCUGUCUUGCCAGCACAGCUCACUCUUGGUGAGAAAGACUGCUGAACUCCUAAUAUCUACUAAUAUAUACUUGGAAUUCCUUCACUUCCUUCUGCCCUUUUCACAGAUGGUAGAAAUAGUCAUUGUGCAUGUACUCAG
Molecule: long non-coding RNA, 867 nt
Filed under: Scleropages formosus (Asian bonytongue)
Lineage: Eukaryota; Metazoa; Chordata; Actinopteri; Osteoglossiformes; Osteoglossidae
Description: lncRNA (ENSSFOG00015024982.1)
Source: RNAcentral